GAACGCACAUUGCGCCUCCUGGUAUUCCGGGAGGCAUGCCUGUUCGAGCGUCAUUUACACCCUCAAGCCUAGCUUGGUGUUGGGCGUCUGUCCCGCCGUUCUCGCGCGCGGACUCGCCUCAAAGUCAUUGGCGGCGGUCGUGCCGGCCCCUCGCGCAGCACAUUUGCGCUUCUCGGAGGCCCGGCGGAUCCGCGCUCCAGCAAGACCUUUCACGACUUGACCUCGGAUCAGGUAGGGAUACCCGCUGAACUUAAG
Molecule: unclassified non-coding RNA, 255 nt
Filed under: uncultured fungus
Lineage: Eukaryota; Fungi
Description: sequence contains 5.8S rRNA gene
Rfam family: 5.8S ribosomal RNA (bases 1-53)
Source: RNAcentral